GAUGAACGCUGGCGGCGUGCUUAACACAUGCAAGUCGAGCGAAGCACUUAAGUUUGAUUCUUCGGAUGAAGACUUUUGUGACUGAGCGGCGGACGGGUGAGUAACGCGUGGGUAACCUGCCUCAUACAGGGGGAUAACAGUUAGAAAUGACUGCUAAUACCGCAUAAGACCACGGUACCGCAUGGUACAGUGGUAAAAACUCCGGUGGUAUGAGAUGGACCCGCGUCAGAUUAAGUAGUUGGUGGGGUAACGGCCUACCAAGCCGACGAUCAGUAGCCGACCUGAGAGGGUGACCGGCGACAUUGGGACUGAGACACGGCCCAGACUCCUACGGGAGGCAGCAGUGGGGAAUAUUGCACAAUGGAGGAAACUCUGAUGCAGCGACGCCGCGUGAAGGAUGAAGUAUUUCGGUAUGUAAACUUCUAUCAGCAGGGAAGAAAAUGACGGUACCUGACUAAGAAGCCCCGGCUAACUACGUGCCAGCCGCCGCAGUAA
RNAcentral lists this ribosomal RNA (495 nucleotides) under uncultured bacterium. RNAcentral describes it as "partial 16S ribosomal RNA". It matches the Rfam family "Bacterial small subunit ribosomal RNA", at positions 28 to 523 of the family's 1533-position model. The record is from RNAcentral.